UUUCCGUAGGUGAACCUGCGGAAGGAUCAUUAAAGAG
RNAcentral lists this ribosomal RNA (37 nucleotides) under Phymatotrichopsis omnivora. RNAcentral describes it as "partial 18S ribosomal RNA". Lineage: Eukaryota; Fungi; Ascomycota; Pezizomycetes; Pezizales; Rhizinaceae. The record is from RNAcentral.